This 497-nucleotide ribosomal RNA is filed under the name uncultured bacterium. RNAcentral describes it as "partial 16S ribosomal RNA". It matches the Rfam family "Bacterial small subunit ribosomal RNA", at positions 28 to 507 of the family's 1533-position model. The record is from RNAcentral.
GAUGAACGCUGGCGGCGUGCCUAAUACAUGCAAGUCGAGUGAACAGACGAGGAGCUUGCUCCUCUGACGUUAGCGGCGGACGGGUGAGUAACACGUGGAUAACCUACCUAUAAGACUGGGAUAACUUCGGGAAACCGGAGCUAAUACCGGAUAAUAUAUUGAACCGCAUGGUUCAAUAGUGAAAGACGGUUUUGCUGUCACUUAUAGAUGGAUCCGCGCCGCAUUAGCUAGUUGGUAAGGUAACGGCUUACCAAGGCAACGAUGCGUAGCCGACCUGAGAGGGUGAUCGGCCACACUGGAACUGAGACACGGUCCAGACUCCUACGGGAGGCAGCAGUAGGGAAUCUUCCGCAAUGGGCGAAAGCUUGACGGAGCAACGCCGCGUGAGUGAUGAAGGUCUUCGGAUCGUAAAACUCUGUUAUUAGGGAAGAACAAAUGUGUAAGUAACUAUGCACGUCUUGACGGUACCUAAUCAGAAAGCCACGGCUAACUACGUG